ACAGUGCCUACCUUGGACAGCGCUGACAACAAUUAAAAUGGGGUAAAAAGGCUUCCCAAAUACUUUGGCUGUUGUGGGAAAGAGUAUUCAUCUGUUGGCCAGCAAUAAAAAUCAAAAUAACAGCAAGUA
Pseudopipra pipra is the source of this 129-nucleotide long non-coding RNA. RefSeq lists it as uncharacterized. The transcript is spliced from 2 exons. Lineage: Eukaryota; Metazoa; Chordata; Aves; Passeriformes; Pipridae. The record is from RefSeq and is a predicted model, not a curated record.